Molecule: ribosomal RNA, 812 nt
Filed under: uncultured bacterium
Lineage: Bacteria
Description: bacterial SSU rRNA
Rfam family: Bacterial small subunit ribosomal RNA
Source: RNAcentral
AGAGUUUGAUCAUGGCUCAGAACGAACGCUGGCGGCGUGGAUAAGACAUGCAAGUCGGACGAGAUUUUCCGUUGUAGCAAUACGAUGGAAAGUUUAGUGGCGAACGGGUGCUUAACACGUGGGCAACCUGCCAGGAAGUGGGGGGAUAGCUCGCCGAAAGGCGAAUUAAUACCGCAUGUGAUUAGAGAGGACAUCCUUUCGAAAUUAAAGUCGGGGCAACCUGACGCUUCUUGUGGGGCCCGCGGCCUAUCAGCUAGUUGGUGGGGUAACGGCUCACCAAGGCUUUGACGGGUAGCUGGUCUGAGAGGACGACCAGCCACACUGGGACUGAGACACGGCCCAGACACCUACGGGUGGCAGCAGUCGAGAAUUUUUGACAAUGGGGGAAACCCUGAUCGAGCGACGCCGCGUGGAGGAUGAAGGUCUUCGGAUUGUAAACUCCUGUCAUUGGGGAACAAUGUCCCGCCAUUAACUGUGGCGGGAUUGAUAGUACCCGAAGAGGAAGAGACGGCUAACUCUGUGCCAGCAGCCGCGGUAAUACAGAGGUCUCAAGCGUUGUUCGGAUUCAUUGGGCGUAAAGGGUGCGUAGGCGGCGCGGUAAGUCGGGUGUGAAAUCUUGGAGCUUAACUCCGAAACUGCAUUCGAUACUGCCGUGCUUGAGGACUGGAGAGGAGACUGGAAUUUACGGUGUAGCGGUGAAAUGCGUAGAUAUCGUAAGGAAGACCAGUGGCGAAGGCGGGUCUCUGGACAGUUCCUGACGCUGAGGGCACGAAGGUCAGGGGAGCAAACGGGAUUAGAUACCCUAGUAGUCC